GACGGUGAGCUUGGGGUAUCAGUAAGAGCGAAACCAUUUGUGGGGUCCGAUUCAAUAGCAUUAAGACAAGCACAAAAUGAAAAGUUUACACGAAAAGAAAAAAACUUUAAAGCUGAACUUUUAUGGGGCAUGUCGAGCAACUUCGCUGAAGAAACGGAACUCGGGCGAUUGGGAGGAAAGAGGCGUCGAAAAGUUGGCGAUGGAAUACGCAUUUUCAGGGCAAUAAAGUCGCAUUCCAUGAAUCAGAACUCUAAGACUCGCUUCUUGAAAAAUUUUCCCGCGUCAAGCGACCGCGUAUGAACUCGAAGCUAGCAGAGUUGCCUAGUGAUAUCUUAUGCCAGAGCAAGGGGGAUUGGUCCA
This 360-nucleotide unclassified non-coding RNA is filed under the name Hevea brasiliensis (rubber tree). The record is from RNAcentral. Lineage: Eukaryota; Viridiplantae; Streptophyta; Magnoliopsida; Malpighiales; Euphorbiaceae.